AGGAUGAACGCUGGCGGUCUGCUUAACACAUGCAAGUCGAACGGAGUAGCAAUACUUAGUGGCGGACGGGUGAGUAACGCGUGAGAAUCUACCUUCAGGACGGAGACAACAGUUGGAAACGACUGCUAACCCCCGAUGUACCGAAAGGGCAAAUAUUUAUAGCCUGAAGAAGAGCUCGCGUCCGAUUAGCUAGUUGGAGAGGUAAAAGCUCACCAAGGCGACGAUCGGUAGCUGGUCUGAGAGGACGAUCAGCCACACUGGGACUGAGACACGGCCCAGACUCCUACGGGAGGCAGCAGUGGGAAUUUUCCGCAAUGGGCGAAAGCCUGACGGAGCAAGACCGCGUGGGGGAAGAAGGCUCUUGGGUUGUAAACCCCUUUUCUCUGGGAAGAACGUUGUGAAAGCAGCCUGACGGUACCAGAGGAAUCAGCAUCGGCUAACUCCGUGCCAGCAGCCGC
Molecule: ribosomal RNA, 458 nt
Filed under: uncultured bacterium
Lineage: Bacteria
Description: SSU rRNA
Rfam family: Bacterial small subunit ribosomal RNA
Source: RNAcentral